Molecule: long non-coding RNA, 4669 nt
Organism: Ailuropoda melanoleuca (giant panda)
Lineage: Eukaryota; Metazoa; Chordata; Mammalia; Carnivora; Ursidae
Exons: 7
Source: RefSeq, a predicted model, not a curated record
GAUGGGAAAUCCUAAAUUCACUGACUCAAAAAUUCCAUCUCCUUCCAUCUGAAAUGUGCUCUUGCUGGCCCUCCGAGGGAAGGAAAGAGGAGGAAAAGUCAGGCCCGUGUGAGUUCUGAUGAAACCUGUCCUUUUGUUGCCCAGACAGCAAAUGCCAAGUGUCCUGCAUUCACCCCUUCCUCCAGCAGACGUCUGUGGAGCUGAAAGCCUGCUGUCUGCUCCGUGCUCCGUGACACAGGCUCUGGGAUGCAGCAGCGAACACAGACUGAGUCCUGUGCUCCUUAAACAUAGUGUCCAGUGGGGGAGACGUGCCGACCAAAGAGAAAAACUGGCACACACGUGUGUAAGAGCUCAGGAGGUACACUCGGCAGAUGUGUGUUGUGGCAGCGGUCCUCCUCUGGAGUCUGGCCAGGAAGGGUUUCCCAUAGGAGCAGCACGUAAUCCAGAACCUGAAGGAAGCAGGAGUUAACCAGUCCAGGAAGAAAAGGAGCAGAUGCCAGGCAGAGAGAAUGGUGUGUGCAAAGGCCCUGGGGUACACGGGGGGGAUGGGGCAUGCUGGAGGAAGGCCCUGGAGCUUGGUCGGCAAGAGCAGCAUAGAGACAGAUAGAGCUCAAGGGGGUGCUGGACCAGCACAGUUGGAGUCCUACAGCCCACAUGAAGGGUGCUGGUCCUUACCUGAGAGCAGUCGGAAGCCACGGGAUGGAUUUAAGGGAUGGAGUGCCGCGCUCCUCGGCUCCUGAGAAGAUCCCUCAGAUCAACUUUCCAAUGAAGACCUUGAAUAAUUGCUAAACAGAGGACAUUUUGUUGUUCCGUGCAGACCAGGUGACAGGGGCCACUCCAGCAGCUCCUCCCACUUACCUUGAGAAAGACCCCUAGCACAUCGGGGCCUGUUUCUGCCAGAGCAUGGAAAGGGGUUCGGGAAACUGUCCGAGGGGAAGCCUGACAGACGCUCCUUCAGGCGACUCAGGGUGUUGUCCACAGUGAGGAGGCAGGUGAUUGGACGGGUUAAGAAGGGCCCUUCAGCUCUGGGGUCUUCCUACCACCACCCGUAACUCCAGUCUCACCGUGACAGACCCAAACCGAGGGACAGUCUAUGAAACUCCCGGCCAGCACUCCCCAAAGCUGUCGAGGCAAGUCUGAGAAACCAUCCCAGCCCAGAGGAGCCUGAGAGACAGGACGACCGAACGCAGCGUGGGAUCCUGGGACAGAGAAAGGACGUCAGCUGAAAGCCAGGGAAAUCCGAGCGAGGCACGGACUUAGCUAAUGAUGGCCAGGCCCCAUCUUGAGAGCAGACUGUGGCCUGGACGGGGCACAGGACUGAUCUUGGCAGGGGACACGCAGCCCUGCUCCGUGCGACGACCGUCGCGGGCCAGCUACAGGGGACGGUGCAGCAGCUCCGCACUCAGUCCGUCCUGACGUGGGUGGACCCACGGAGACGCUGUGCGUUGAUUAGCAAGCCGUGUGACCUUGAGCCAGCUGUGCCUCGGUUUCCCCAUCUGUAAGAGAGGAACGACAAUGAGAACGAUCUCCCAGGUGGUUGUGCAGCCCGAGGAGGCGACACAGGAAAUGCUCCGGUGUUGCAAAUUGUCGUCCACGAGACCAAGAGCUGUGCGGACGGGAGCCUGUUUCGCUCGUGCGUGUAGACCCAGGCGUGGCACGUGGCUGGACACACAGUUACUCCCCUACACACCACGUCCCCCAGACAGCCUUCGCCAUCGUCAGCAUAGCCUGUGAGCCAGAAUCUUGCCAUCUGUUUCCUCCAGACUCGCAAAAGCUCUCUCCGGCCUGGCCCUUGGUCUCGGUCUCCAUUCAGCAAGUGUUCUGGCCACAAGAGACUGUCCUCUGAUGAGCGGUUCAGAGCGAGAACACAGGAUCCGUAUUAGAGGCACAGCGUGGGGUCAAGGCCAAGAACCCAGAGGAAGCUAAGGACAGCGUCUCGAGAAGGCCCUGCGCGCCCCGCGGUUUCGGGUGGAAAUAUGGUCUUUGCUGUGACUGCAUCAUGGUUGAAUUUCACACCAGAGAAAGGAAGGACUGACUUUAACCUCAAAACGAGGAAGACCGUAACAGUCACACACAGAAAAGCCGUUGCCUGAAGGAGAAGCCGCCGUGGUAGGGGGUCUGGGAGUGCGUGGCAGCCACCCCCAAGGACAGCUGGAAGGCGGCCACCAGGCUGGCCACGCAGGACUGCCACGGAGGGCACGGCAGAGGAGGGAAUGGCCGCGAGAACGUGCUGGCAGCGGCACGUCAGGAGGAAGUGGCUUCUGUGAGCCGUCGCCCUCACAGCAGGCCGAGAAGCAGAAAUUUAACCACACAGGGGUACGGAGCUAUUUUCAACCUUGGGGUUUUCACCCCAAGUCCCCAAAGUGCUUGGGCAGCCCAGCUCCCGUGUGACCCCAUCAGGGCCCUGGACCCAUGGGAAAGGACAGAAGAGAAGGCAGGUCUGAGAAAGACGGGCAGAAGGGCACGUGGGGCAGCAGGUCUCCACCUGGACCCUGGGCCGUGAGGCCACGCUGGGCCUGGGCUUCCUGUCUGCUCACGCAGGCUCUGUGUUUCCUCUGGCUGCGGUACAGACGACCCCAUCCCUAGUGGCUGAAAACAGCACACAUUCACUCUCUUAUGUUCUCUGACAACACAUAGAUUCUAGAGGUCACCCGUCCAACGCGGGUCUCACGAGACUCAAGGUGUCGACAGGACCGGCUCCUUCCGGAGGCUCCCUCCCCUCCUCACACUUCCAGAGACCACGGCAAUCCUUGGUCCGUGGCCCCUCACCAUCUUUGAAGCCAGCAGAGUGGCACCGUCCCGUCUCUCUGGUCCCCUCCUCUCCCCCUUCCAGGACCGUGUGGGGACACCGGGCCCACCAGAUCAUCUAGGACCACCUCCCCAUCUCCAGGUCCUCAACUCAGCCCCAUCCUCAAAGCACCUCCCGCCAGGAAGGGAGCUCCCCCCCCAAGUUCGUGCUGAGCACUAACAUGGAUGUUUUGGGGGGCAUCACCCGGUCUACCUCACGUCUCUUCCCUCUGGAACCUUCUAAGAUUCUAGGCAAGGAAGAUGAGGCUUCUUCCAAACUCAAGAUCGACUACAAUGGUGGCUGAUGUUCAUGGCGGCCUGCCCUCCCCACGACCGUGCUGACCCACGUGGCCUGCCCGUGCCCCGAGUGAGGCCCCAUCCACGGAGGGCAAAGUCAGGCUCAGGGUGGGGGUGCUGACUGGUCUGUCCACGUUCAUUCGGGAGUGAACAGCAGAGCUGGAUCCUUGAACCCGCGUCCUGCCAGAGCCCGAGUCCUUGGCCGCCUCGACGGGAUGCCGCUCUGGUGUCCCAGGCGGAAACCACACUCACCUCAUCGAAGCGAGGUGGACCAAAGCUUUGAAAAUCAAGCCUCGCAGCCCUAAGGGCUCCCACUCAUUGCUGGUGGCCAUCCAGAAUGUUCGGCCCUUUUGGAAGACAGCUGGCCUGUCUCUCACAAAGCUGCACAUCGGCUGACCCCACGAUCCAGGAGCUGUGCACCCACAUACCCUGCCACGGGAGCCGAGAACAAAGGUCCACGUGACCACCUGCACAUGUGGGAGCAGCUCUGUUCACAGCUGCCGGCAGGACGAGGACCAGACAGGCCAGGGGCACGGAGCUCACAAGAUGCCGUCCAAGCCGUUGAAUGAGGACAGAGACUGGGCAGGAAAGGUCACCCUUCCUGCCGUGGGGUCCUCGCCGCCUCUCGCCUCUCUCCCCUCGGCCUCUCCCACCCUUGCCGUCGUGACCCUCCGUGUCAUCAUCUCCCAGAGCAAAGUUCUCCUGCCCUUUUCCAGUGUCCCGUGUGGCCCUGAGAGUGGGUAAGCACGCAGUGCCAUCCGUGACGGCCCAACCCUGGAGCCAGACUGAGCGCCCAGCCGCAGAAGAAGGAGGGAGUCCUGGUACGCUCACAGCCCGGAACGCGAGACCCUGGGGACGCACGUCCACUGGGCCAGCUCUCCAGCAAUGCUCCCUCGGGUCCUUACGAUUUGGAAAAAGGAGAGCGUGCCCUCCACGAACCAGGUGGUGGGUGUGUGUGUGAGCACAGCCAGGAGCCGGGAGCUGUCUCACAAGCGUCCGGCCCGAGGACACAGCUCCACAACCACAGGCGACUUCAGGCUCCCUCUCCUCCCCUCUUCUCACCGUUGAGAACCCUGCAGUUGAUGUGCGCAGCGAGCCCAGCCCACCCCUCGCCACCGCACGUGUGCUGAGACUCCCAGCGCUCAGGGCUGGCACUCGCUGUCCGCUCCUGGGCCCCCCCUUAGUCUCCCUACACAUCAGCUGAGUCCCCCUCCAACGAGAAACAACAUGUCUAGAAAGGGGGGGAGGUGGUCCUGAGUUUGCAAGGAGCCCUCUCCCUGGGGACGGGGGAGGGGAGAGGUCUGUGAACCCUGCCGUCUCUAGUGCCUCCGUCUGACCCCACAGAAACCUCUCAGCCCUCGUUCUUCCGUAUUUGACGGGAAGGAGGUGAUGGGAAGGGAGCAAAUGUGUCUUGAGCACCUACUAUGUGCCCGGCAGCUUGGAAGACCUGCCUCCUGGAGCCCUUCCCUCCCACGUUGGCUUGCGACCUGCUUCCACCACCAGAGCGCUGACCUGCCACAUUCACACAUCGGCCGCUCACUCCCCAAACGCCGGCCACACACCCCUGCACGCCAGGCCCCUUCCA